Molecule: ribosomal RNA, 261 nt
Filed under: uncultured archaeon
Lineage: Archaea
Description: partial 16S ribosomal RNA
Rfam family: Archaeal small subunit ribosomal RNA
Source: RNAcentral
CAGCCGUAAACUAUGCGCGUUAGGUGUAUCGGUGACCACGAGUUACCGAGGUGCCGAAGGGAAACCGUGAAACGUGCCGCCUGGGAAGUACGGUCGCAAGGCUGAAACUUAAAGGAAUUGGCGGGGGAGCACCACAACAGGUGGAGCCUGCGGCUUAAUUGGACUCAACGCCGGGAAGCUCACCGGAUAGGACAGCAGAAUGAUUGCCGGGCUGAAGACCCUGCAUGACUAGCUGAGAGGAGGUGCAUGGCGUCAGUGACU